Molecule: long non-coding RNA, 2017 nt
Filed under: Nicotiana benthamiana
Lineage: Eukaryota; Viridiplantae; Streptophyta; Magnoliopsida; Solanales; Solanaceae
Description: long non-coding RNA (NBEN_LNC033343)
Source: RNAcentral
UGUAUUUAAGCUAAACAUUUAAGGUUUGCCCAUAGCAAUUUUUUAACAUUCAAAUUGUUUUAAAUAUACAAAUUGCAAAGAAAGAAUGUGAUACCAAAACUGAAAAUGGCUAUACAGAAUUACCUAUAUUACCAUUAACGAGACACCCAAAUUUUGGAUAUGAGUUAUGCUAAUCAAUCACAACAACUCAAGAUCACACAGAAAUCUGUUGUUUAAGAAGGAGAAACUUUAACUAACUUCGGUUUUUUAAAAGCAAACAAACUAAAACGACAUCAAAGAAUGCAUUUACUAAUACCUAUAAACUCCAAGCCCUUGAAGAAUGAAAGAAUGCUAACUUAUUAAGGUUUGAAACCCAGUCUUUUCAACAGAAUUCCUAACAUCAAGGCUUAAUGCUUUUACCCCUGUUAUUUACAAACCAAACAUCAGAUUCUGAUGUUAUUUAAACCAAAAUUAUAACAAAACAAAUCAUAAAGGUUUACUUAGAACAGAGCGCCACCAUACAGCUCACAUGUUAUUCAACUAAGUUAUGUCCAUAUCCCAACAGUCCAAAGUUAAAUACAAUAGCAAGAAUUCAAUUAUUAAAACCAAAAAUAAACUAGCAAAUACAGUAAAUCUGGAAAUAAAACACAAUAUAUUUUAGAGAAAUACAACUGAACUAUUAACAGAUAACUUGAUGUUAUGCUCUUAACUCCAUUUUUCAUUUCAUACUUCAAAUUUUGCUUCACAUCUAGUAUAGUUCAAGAAUAAGUACCUGAUUGCAGCAAUCAAAAAUAAGGACAAAUGAGUGUGAAGUCUAGAGGAAACAUCAACAACAGAACCAACUUAGAAUCCCAACAAUACCAACGUAAACCAACUUCUUAAAACCAAAAGAAAAACUAAAUGAAAACCAGUCUUUGAAGAACCCAAAACUCUGAUUAAAUACGCUUUAAAGCAGAUUUGAAUCAAUUUGAACCAAAGCAAGAAUUCCAGUUUCUUGCAAAGCUUUUCAGACUCCUGCCCUUUUUUAGUUUUUUAAUAUUUUUAAUCUCUAAUUCUGACUUGUUGGUGAAGAAACUAUGCCUUUAUAGGCAAGCCUUACGGCAACAGAAAGUGAAUUCGGUUUAGCUCUUUAAUCAUUUUGAUAUUUUCAUUUUUGCUCCUCUACCCUUAGUUUAAAAUUAGCUUUUUAAGUUAGUCCCUAAACCCACCUUCUAGGAAACUUCCUAAGUUAGUUAUGCAAGAUUCUCUAAGCUAAAAUCCCUAAACUACCCUUAAAACCUCUAUUAUUUACCCUUCUAACCUAAACUAACAAAAUCCUAGGGCUAUUGUUGGGACGGGUAAAAAAUAAACCGAGGGCCCAAAAUUUCCAACUAGCCCAUGAGUAUUCGAAAAUCUGACCUAGACAAAAUAACACUCAAACGAUGGCUCCAAAAGAACAAAAACAAUUUUAAUACUUACUCUGAAAAUAAACUGAAUUAAUUCUGUUCCUUUAACAAAAAUUAUCCAAGAUUAACUCAUGGCUACUGUUUAUAUGAAUUUAAACUGAUUAAAAACAGAAACAGAGGGAAAAGAAAAUGAAAGAAUAAAAUGGAGGAGAAACAGAAACCGGGAAACACACGGACAAGGAAUACCUAAGGUCGGAGACAAACGGACUUGAAAAUAUUGUCCGGCAGCUUCUGAUUUGACCCAAACUGGUAUCAAUCACAUGUUCUCUUUUGAGAACAAAUGAACAAUACUAGUUUCAGGCCCAAUCGUUCAUAGAAACUUGAAGACUUGAAAGAUCUUCUUUUCUUCAUUUUUAGAUCUGAAACUGACCCGAUUUGGUGAGGACUUGGGGAGAAGAGGUGGUAGAUUGGGACUCAGGGAUGAAUGGUGGUUGUGUGGUUAAAUUUUUAUGGUGAUUUGAGCUCCGCCUCUAGCGAAAGAUGGUGAAACAUUCACGGCGCGGGUCUAGGGUUAGAGAUGAGGGAGAUAAAGUGAAGGGGUGCUUGGGAACUGACUUGUCUCUGGGGACUUGGACAGUCUUAAGCGAAAAUAG